UUGAACGCUGGCGGCAGGCCUAACACAUGCAAGUCGAACGGUAGCACAGAGAGCUUGCUCUCGGGUGACGAGUGGCGGACGGGUGAGUAAUGUCUGGGAAACUGCCCGAUGGAGGGGGAUAACUACUGGAAACGGUAGCUAAUACCGCAUAAUGUCGCAAGACCAAAGAGGGGGACCUUCGGGCCUCUUGCCAUCGGAUGUGCCCAGAUGGGAUUAGCUUGUUGGUGAGGUAAUGGCUCACCAAGGCGACGAUCCCUAGCUGGUCUGAGAGGAUGACCAGCCACACUGGAACUGAGACACGGUCCAGACUCCUACGGGAGGCAGCAGUGGGGAAUAUUGCACAAUGGGCGCAAGCCUGAUGCAGCCAUGCCGCGUGUGAAGAAGGCCUUCGGGUUGUAAAGCACUUUCAGCGGGGAGGAAGGCAAUGCGGUUAAUAACCGUGUUGAUUGACGUUACCCGCAGAAGAAGCACCGGCUAACUCCGUG
RNAcentral lists this ribosomal RNA (485 nucleotides) under uncultured bacterium. Its description in RNAcentral is "partial 16S ribosomal RNA". It matches the Rfam family "Bacterial small subunit ribosomal RNA", at positions 30 to 507 of the family's 1533-position model. The record is from RNAcentral.